UACGGAGGGAGCUAGCGUUGUUCGGAAUUACUGGGCGUAAAGCGCACGUAGGCGGCUAUUCAAGUCAGAGGUGAAAGCCCAGGGCUCAACCUUGGAACUGCCUUUGAAACUAGAUAGCUAGAAUCCUGGAGAGGCGAGUGGAAUUCCGAGUGUAGAGGUGAAAUUCGUAGAUAUUCGGAAGAACACCAGCGGCGAAGGCGACUCGCUGGACAGGUAUUGACGCUGAGGUGCGAAAGCGUGGGGAGCAAACAGG
RNAcentral lists this ribosomal RNA (253 nucleotides) under uncultured bacterium. RNAcentral's name for it is "partial 16S ribosomal RNA". It matches the Rfam family "Bacterial small subunit ribosomal RNA", at positions 524 to 776 of the family's 1533-position model. The record is from RNAcentral.